Molecule: ribosomal RNA, 396 nt
Filed under: uncultured bacterium
Lineage: Bacteria
Description: bacterial SSU rRNA
Rfam family: Bacterial small subunit ribosomal RNA
Source: RNAcentral
ACGGUACUUAUCGUACCUUCUCUUCGGAGCAGGAGUGACAGGUGGUGCAUGGUUGUCGUCAGCUCGUGUCGUGAGAUGUUGGGUUAAGUCCCGCAACGAGCGCAACCCUUAUCUUUAGUAGCCAGCGGUUCGGCCGGGCACUCUAGAGAGACUGCCAGGGAUAACCUGGAGGAAGGCGGGGAUGACGUCAAAUCAUCAUGCCCCUUAUGACUUGGGCUACACACGUGCUACAAUGGCGUAAACAAAGGGAAGCAAAGCUGUGAGGCCGAGCAAAUCUCAAAAAUAACGUCUCAGUUCGGACUGUAGUCUGCAACCCGACUACACGAAGCUGGAAUCGCUAGUAAUCGCAAAUCAGAAUGCUGCGGUGAAUACGUUCCCGGGUCUUGUACACACCGA